AGCAAGACACAUAAACCGGUCACGUUCACGUAAGUUUAACUCUUAAACAUAUGAUGAUUAAAUGGUUGUGGUUGUGUUUUAAUCUGAUGUUGAUGGUAAACAGGAGAUGUAGAUGGUGGAGAAGAGAAUAGAAAAGAUGGAAUAAGAAUGAACAAGGCAAGGAGAGAAAGUUGCAGCAUUGGGAAGGAAGAAUGGAAGGAAAAGACACACUAGAAAUAGAAGGGUCGGAUUGCUCUCAUGCAACUUGAUGACAAGUCCUACCUUGUACCAUCUAACAUCUGAGCUCAUCUCUUUGUGGUCUCAAAACACACCACAGACACAAACCUUUUCCAGAUUUAUCACUCCGGAAUAUCUUUUUCGGAUUCAUAAAUCCGGAAAGUUAAAAGAAUCCUAAAUAAAUCUGUCUGAACCCACCCCAUUGGCGACCACAACCAAAAUUCAUACCUCCACUAAAUAACUACUCAUACCUCUAUUAAAUAAGUGAAGAACCUGCUUAUGUUACAAAGCUUCUAAAGCUUUGAUGAUCAUCAAAGACUCAAGAUGAAAAAAGGUUUCGAAGAUAGAGACGGAGAAGAAAC
This 578-nucleotide long non-coding RNA is filed under the name Vigna radiata. RNAcentral describes it as "long non-coding RNA (VRAD_LNC009685)". The record is from RNAcentral. Lineage: Eukaryota; Viridiplantae; Streptophyta; Magnoliopsida; Fabales; Fabaceae.